Molecule: long non-coding RNA, 230 nt
Filed under: Carica papaya (papaya)
Lineage: Eukaryota; Viridiplantae; Streptophyta; Magnoliopsida; Brassicales; Caricaceae
Description: long non-coding RNA (CPAP_LNC007843)
Source: RNAcentral
UGUACUAACCCUAUGUAAGAUCUGAAACGGUCUAAUAAACUGGGGGUUUAACUUUUAUCUCUUUCCAAACCUGUUGAUACCCUUAAAGGGGGUGAUCUUAAGAAAUACUCGAUCGCUCCUCUCAAAUUUCAAGUCUUUCUUUUGGGUGUUCGCAUAAAUUUUUUGCCUACUCUAGGCUAUUUGGAUGUUCUUCCUGAUUUUAACUAUCUUUGUUGUUGUCUCAUCUACAA